AUGGCGACGGCGAGCGGCCUCUCCGCCCCUCUGCAGCUCCUCUCGUUCCGGCGGGCGCCCGCCAAGAACCUCUCGCCGCGGAGAGCAGCCGCGGGAGCUCUGUCAGGUUCACUUAUUGUGAAGAGAUUUUCUUUAUGCAACGGGAGAAGUCAUCACCAAUUUUUACCAUUGAAACAAAGGGGAAGGUUGCAAGCAGCAGUACUACCUGUUACUCCACCACUGCUUGAUGAUGAGGAAAAAAGGAAGCAAAUGUCUGAAGAUUAUGGUUUCAAUCAAAUUGGAGAACAGCUACCAGAUAACAUUACUCUUAAAGAUGUCAUGGAUACUCUGCCUAAAGAGGUAUUUGAAAUCGAUGAUGUAAAGGCUUGGGCAUCUGUUCUGAUAUCAGUUACUUCAUAUGCUUUCGGUCUUUUCCUUAUCUCAAAAGCUCCAUGGUAUCUUCUUCCCGUUGCUUGGGCAUGGGCUGGUACAGCAGUGACUGGGUUUUUUGUCAUAGGUCAUGAUUGUGCACAUAAAUCAUUUUCAAGGAAUAAGCUAGUGGAGGAUAUCGUUGGAACUCUAGCUUUCCUGCCAUUAAUUUACCCUUAUGAACCUUGGAGAUUUAAGCAUGACAGACAUCACGCCAAGACAAAUAUGUUAGUAGAAGAUACUGCAUGGCAACCUGUUUGGCAAAACGAAAUUGAAUCGUCUUCUUUCCUAAGGAAGGCAAUUAUAUUUGGUUAUGGUCCUAUCAGGCCAUGGAUGUCUAUUGCUCACUGGUUGAUGUGGCACUUUGAUCUAAAAAAAUUCCGGCCAAAUGAACUCCCUAGGGUGAAGAUAAGUUUGGCGUGUGUCUUUGCAUUCAUGGCAAUUGGAUGGCCCCUAAUCAUUCUUCAAUCAGGAAUAGCUGGAUGGUUCAAGUUCUGGUUCAUGCCAUGGAUGGUUUAUCACUUUUGGAUGAGCACCUUUACAAUGGUGCAUCACACUGCUCCUCAUAUACCUUUCAAAUCAUCAAAAGAGUGGAAUGCUGCACAGGCGCAAUUAAACGGCACAGUUCACUGUAGCUAUCCUCGAUGGAUAGAGAUCCUUUGCCAUGACAUAAAUGUACAUGUCCCGCACCAUAUUUCUCCGAGAAUUCCAAGUUAUAACCUUCGUGCUGCCCACGACUCCAUUAAACAGAACUGGGGCAAGUAUAUCAACGAGGCCAGCUGGAAUUGGCGGUUGAUGAAGACAAUACUGACUACGUGCCAUGUGUAUGACAAAGAGAGAUACUACGUUUCUUUUGACGAGCUCGUACCUGAGGAAUCUCAACCAAUAAGAUUCCUUAAGAAGUUCAUGCCAGAUUAUGCUUGA
This 1332-nucleotide ribosomal RNA is filed under the name Triticum aestivum (bread wheat). RNAcentral describes it as "partial small subunit ribosomal RNA". The record is from RNAcentral. Lineage: Eukaryota; Viridiplantae; Streptophyta; Magnoliopsida; Poales; Poaceae.